GACGAACGCUGGCGGCGUGCUUAACACAUGCAAGUCGAACGGAAAGGCCCUGCUUGCGGGGUACUCUAGUGUCGAACGGGUGAGUAACACGUGGGUGAUCUGCCCUGCACUUCUGGAUAAGCCUGGGAAACUGGGUCUAAUACCGGAUAUGACCUUCCAUGUAGUGUGGGGGGUGGAAAGAUUUAUCGGUGUGGGAUGAGCCCGCGGCCUAUCAGCUUGUUGGUGGGGUAAUGGCCUACCAAGGCGUCGACGGGUAGCCGGCCUGAGAGGGUGGACGGCCACAUUGGGACUGAGAUACGGCCCAGACUCCUACGGGAGGCAGCAGUGGGGAAUAUUGCACAAUGGGCGGAAGCCUGAUGCAGCGACGCCGCGUGGGGGAUGACGGCCUUCGGGUUGUAAACCUCUUUCGACAGGGACGAAGCUUCGGUGACGGUACCUGUAGAAGAAGCACCGGCUAACUACGUG
This 465-nucleotide ribosomal RNA is filed under the name uncultured bacterium. RNAcentral describes it as "partial 16S ribosomal RNA". It matches the Rfam family "Bacterial small subunit ribosomal RNA", at positions 28 to 507 of the family's 1533-position model. The record is from RNAcentral.